AGAGUUUGAUCCUGGCUCAGGACGAACGCUGGCGGCGUGCUUAACACAUGCAAGUCUACGAGAAAGAGGUAGCAAUAUCUUGAGUAAAGUGGCGCACGGGUGGGUAAUAUGUAAGUAAUCUGCCAAUAGAUUUGGAAUAACGCAGAGAAAUUUGCGCUAAUACCGAAUGAUGCAGCGGCACCGCAUGGUGAUGUUGUUAAAGUCUAUAUGGCGGCUAUGGAUGAGCUUGCAUCUGAUUAGCUAGUUGGUGGGGUAAUGGCCCACCAAGGCAACGAUCAGUAGCUGGUCUGAGAGGAUGAUCAGCCACACUGGAACUGAGACACGGUCCAGACUCCUACGGGAGGCAGCAGUGAGGAAUAUUGGGCAAUGCCCGCAAGGGUGACCCAGCAACGCCGCGUGGAGGAUGAAUGCCGUAAGGUUGUAAACUCCUGUGAGAAGGGAAGAAAGUGCGGAAUCGAAUUCCGCUUUGACUGUACCUUCAGAGGAAACCCCGGCUAACUACGUGCCAGCAGCCGCGGUAAUACGUAGGGGGUUAGCGUUGUCCGGAUUUACUGGGUGUAAAGGGCGCGUAGGCGGGUUUGUAAGUCAGAGGUGAAAUCCUGCAGCUUAACUGCAGAGCUGCCUUUGAUACUGCAAAUCUUGAGUUCAGAAGAGAGAGAUGGAAUUCCAGGUGUAGUGGUGAAAUACGUAGAUAUCUGGAAGAACACCAGUGGCGAAGGCGGUCUCUUGGUCUGUAACUGACGCUGAGGCGCGAAAGCGUGGGUAGCAAACAGGAUUAGAUACCCUGGUAGUCCACGCCGUAAACGAUGAGAACUAGGUGUUGCGGGUAUUGACCCCUGCAGUGCCGCAGCUAACGCAUUAAGUUCUCCGCCUGGGAAGUACGGUCGCAAGACUAAAACUCAAAGGAAUUGAUGG
This 915-nucleotide ribosomal RNA is filed under the name uncultured bacterium. RNAcentral's name for it is "bacterial SSU rRNA". It matches the Rfam family "Bacterial small subunit ribosomal RNA", at positions 8 to 916 of the family's 1533-position model. The record is from RNAcentral.